GGAGGAAGCCACUUCGGUGGCAGGAAGACAGGUGGUGCAUGGUUGUCGUCAGCUCGUGUCGUGAGAUGUUGGGUUAAGUCCCGCAACGAGCGCAACCCUUAUUGUUAGUUGCUACCAUUUAGUUGAGCACUCUAGCGAGACUGCCCGGGUUAACCGGGAGGAAGGUGGGGAUGACGUCAAAUCAUCAUGCCCCUUAUGUCUAGGGCUACACACGUGCUACAAUGGUCGGUACAAUGAGAUGCAACCUCGCGAGAGUGAGCAAAACUAUAAAACCGAUCUCAGUUCGGAUUGUAGGCUGAAACUCGCCUACAUGAAGCUGGAGUUGCUAGUAAUCGCGAAUCAGAAUGUCGCGGUGAAUACGUUCCCGGGAAUCGAAUUCCCGC
RNAcentral lists this ribosomal RNA (383 nucleotides) under uncultured bacterium. Its description in RNAcentral is "bacterial SSU rRNA". It matches the Rfam family "Bacterial small subunit ribosomal RNA", at positions 1007 to 1378 of the family's 1533-position model. The record is from RNAcentral.